This 204-nucleotide ribosomal RNA is filed under the name Methanobacterium veterum. RNAcentral's name for it is "partial 23S ribosomal RNA". It matches the Rfam family "Archaeal large subunit ribosomal RNA", at positions 1 to 209 of the family's 2987-position model. The record is from RNAcentral. Lineage: Archaea; Methanobacteriati; Methanobacteriota; Methanobacteria; Methanobacteriales; Methanobacteriaceae.
AAUCAUGCUACUAAAUACCAUCUGGGGGAUGACUUGGCUUGAGUCGCCGAAGAGGGUCGCGGCAAGCAGCGAUAUGCCUGGGCGAGGAGCAUGCAUCCUUAGAACCCAGGAUUACCUAAUGGGACUUCCUAUCUUCGGAUGCUCCGUGAGGAGCGGGAACCCGCCGAACUGAAACAUCUUAGUAGGCGGAGGAAAAGAAAGCAA